GAUGAAGAACGUAGUGAAAUGCGAUACGUAAUGUGAAUUGCAGAAUUCAGUGAAUCAUCGAGUCUUUGAACGCACAUUGCGCCCCCUGGUAUUCCGGGGGGCAUGCCUGUCCGAGCGUCAUUGCUGCCCUCAAGCACGGCUUGUGUGUUGGGCCUCCGUCCUCCUCCCGGGGGACGGGCCCGAAAGGCAGCGGCGGCACCGCGUCCGGUCCUCGAGCGUAUGGGGCUUCGUCACCCGCUCUUGUAGGCCCGGCCGGAGCUUGCCGACACAUCAAUCUUUUUUCCAGGUUGACCUCGGAUCAGGUAGGGAUACCCGCUGAACUUAAGCAUAUCAAUAAGCGGUGGA
RNAcentral lists this unclassified non-coding RNA (345 nucleotides) under soil metagenome. RNAcentral's name for it is "partial contains 5.8S ribosomal RNA, internal transcribed spacer 2, and large subunit ribosomal RNA". The stretch from base 1 to 120 matches the Rfam family "5.8S ribosomal RNA", at positions 35 to 154 of the family's 154-position model. The record is from RNAcentral.